Molecule: ribosomal RNA, 301 nt
Filed under: uncultured bacterium
Lineage: Bacteria
Description: partial 16S ribosomal RNA
Rfam family: Bacterial small subunit ribosomal RNA
Source: RNAcentral
CAGCCGCCACGGUAAUACGUAGGGUGCGAGCGUUAAUCGGAAUUACUGGGCGUAAAGCGGGCGCAGACGGUUACUUAAGCGGGAUGUGAAAUCCCCGGGCUCAACCUGGGAACUGCGUUCUGAACUGGGUGACUAGAGUGUGUCAGAGGGAGGUAGAAUUCCACGUGUAGCAGUGAAAUGCGUAGAGAUGUGGAGGAAUACCGAUGGCGAAGGCAGCCUCCUGGGAUAACACUGACGUUCAUGCCCGAAAGCGUGGGUAGCAAACAGGAUUAGAGACCCCAGUAGUCCCUGUCUCUUAUAC